Molecule: small nuclear RNA, 107 nt
Organism: Homo sapiens (human)
Lineage: Eukaryota; Metazoa; Chordata; Mammalia; Primates; Hominidae
Source: Ensembl
AUGCUCAUUUCGGCAGCACAUAUACUAAAAUUAGAACGAUACAGAGAAGAUUAGCACGGCCCCUGUGCAAGGAUGACACGCAAAUUUGUAAAGCAUUCCAUAUAACU